GGGCGGUUAGCUCAGUUGGUUAGAGCGCCUGCUCGACAAGCAGGAGGCCGAUGGUUCGAGUCCAUUACUGCCCA
Non-coding RNA from Planctomycetes bacterium GWC2_45_44, 74 nucleotides. Lineage: Bacteria; Pseudomonadati; Planctomycetota. The record is from Rfam.